Molecule: long non-coding RNA, 214 nt
Filed under: Lathyrus oleraceus (garden pea)
Lineage: Eukaryota; Viridiplantae; Streptophyta; Magnoliopsida; Fabales; Fabaceae
Description: Pisum sativum (pea) long non-coding RNA (PSAT_LNC015859)
Source: RNAcentral
GCAUUUCCAUGAUCAUGGGGCAUUGUGUAAAACAAGAAAAAAAACUCAUGCAUCAACAUUGCAAACAUAUCCAUUAGCCCUAGGCCGUGGUGACCAGCCGAGAUUGGGUUGUUGGAAAGAGUUUAGCAUCGCGCCAUUGGAUCGGCUUCAGAAUUGGGUUCAUCAGCAUGGUUGAGAGGUUGGUGCUUUCCCAACAAGUGACUCCUUAGUUGAG